CGAUAAGGGGACCCCAAGUGCGAGGGCAUAUAGUCCUCGCUUUUCACGACUGUAAGGCGGUCGUGGAAUAAGAGCUGGGCAAGACCGGUGCCAGCCGCCGCGGUAAUACCGGCAGCUCAAGUGAUGACCGAUAUUAUUGGGCCUAAAGCGUCCGUAGCCGGCCACGAAGGUUCAUCGGGAAAUCCGCCAGCUUAACUGGCGGGCGUCCGGUGAAAACCACGUGGCUUGGGACCGGAAGGCUCGAGGGGUACGUCCGGGGUAGGAGUGAAAUCCCGUAAUCCUGGACGGACCACCGAUGGCGAAAGCACCUCGAGAAGACGGAUCCGACGGUGAGGGACGAAAGCUAGGGUCUCGAACCGGAUUAGAUACCCGGGUAGUCCUAGCUGUAAACGAUGCUCGCUAGGUGUGGCACAGGCUACGAGCCUGUGCUGUGCCGUAGGGAAGCCGAGAAGCGAGCCGCCUGGGAAGUACGUCCGCAAGGAUGAAACUUAAAGGAAUUGGCGGGGGAGCACUACAACCGGAGGAGCCUGCGGUUUAAUUGGACUCAACGCCGGACAUCUCACCAGCUCCGACUAUAGUGAUGACGAUCAGGUUGAUGACCUUAUCACGACGCUAUAGAGAGGAGGUGCAUGGCCGCCGUCAGCUCGUACCGUGAGGCGUCCUGUUAAGUCAGGCAACGAGCGAGACCCGCACUUCUAAUUGCCAGCAGCAGUUUCGACUGGCUGGGUACAUUAGAAGGACUGCCGCUGCUAAAGCGGAGGAAGGAACGGGCAACGGUAGGUCAGUAUGCCCCGAAUGAGCUGGGCUACACGCGGGCUACAAUGGUCGAGACAAUGGGUUGCUAUCUCGAAAGAGAACGCUAAUCUCCUAAACUCGAUCGUAGUUCGGAUUGAGGGCUGAAACUCGCCCUCAUGAAGCUGGAUUCGGUAGUAAUCGCAUUUCAAUAGAGUGCGGUGAAUACGUCCCUGCUCCUUGCACACACCGCCCGUCAAAGCACCCGAGUGAGGUCCGGAUGAGGCCACCACACGGUGGUCGA
This 1036-nucleotide ribosomal RNA is filed under the name Haloferax prahovense. RNAcentral's name for it is "bacterial SSU rRNA". It matches the Rfam family "Archaeal small subunit ribosomal RNA", at positions 368 to 1406 of the family's 1478-position model. Lineage: Archaea; Methanobacteriati; Methanobacteriota; Halobacteria; Halobacteriales; Haloferacaceae. The record is from RNAcentral.